UCAAAGCAUUAAAGAAUCGCCUGGAGGACGUUAAUGAGGGAGCAGAACUGAGUAAACAUCUGAAGAGGUUAGGAGGGGUUGAUGCUGCAGACCAUGUAAAGAAGUCAAUGGCUGCAACUAUGACAAAUAAAAUGAUGGCUCUAAUGAGCCUCAGAGGAAGGAGUGGGAAGGUGUCCUUUAUGAAGACCCAUCUUUACAAGCUCAUCUGUGACGCAGUGUUCAGCUCAUUUGAUACAACAACAACAAAAAUAAAUGAACACAUGGCCA
Long non-coding RNA from Clarias gariepinus (North African catfish), 267 nucleotides. RefSeq lists it as uncharacterized. The transcript has 4 exons. The record is from RefSeq and is a predicted model, not a curated record. Lineage: Eukaryota; Metazoa; Chordata; Actinopteri; Siluriformes; Clariidae.